CACAUUACUGUCUUUGAAUGCAGGUGUCUGCUGUAAGCUACAUUUGAUGUAGUGUUUUCUUCUGUAGUCUCUGCUUCCCCCAAUGAGACUGAGAUGGAGGCAGACGGUAAAGUGACCCUCCACUGCAUCCUGUACACACAAGACAACUGUGGAGGAUCAGAGGCAGAUGAAGGAGUUAGUCUGAGCUGGGUGGAUGAGGGAGGGAAAGAGCUACAGAACGAUAACAAUCGCCAGAUCAGAACCACACCUCCCUGUUCCAUCACACUGACUGAGGAGCUCAGAGGUCCAAACCCUGUUCAUACUCGGACAUGCCAGCUGACUGCAGGAGGGCAGGUUCAGACUUCUGUCUCCCACACCAUCAGAGUGAAAGAAUGAAACUGUCACCACUGCUUCCUCAAACUCAGGCCCAUCAGCAACAAAGUCCUCUCCUCCACCGACAGACUCAGGAACACCAGUUCCCCAAGGUGUCCUUCUGGUUGCUGGAGUUGUUGUCUCUGUCAGUCUGUUGGCUGCUGCAUUGAUGACAAUUGUGGUGAUAUGCAAGAGAAGGACAAAUGCUGGAGGAGAGCCAAGACACAAAUCAACUCAAAACAGGACCAGUGCCGUAGUCAUGCAGUCUGUUCAGCCAUCAAACUCCUCAGCUAAUGAGGAGGAAGGAGCUGAUCUGCACUAUGCAACCUUUCAGCACCUCAACCAAACACAAGCUGGGCCUUCUGCAAAGCAGUCUGAGGACACCGUGACCUACAGCACCAUCAUGCAGUUAUCUGGUGGUGAACACCAGAACAGCAGACCUGCUGGCAGACCAGCGGAUCCCAAUGCUAUGCAUGCUACUGUUCAGGAGAAAAACAACAUACAGAAUUAAUAGUCAUAUGGAUACACACAUAUAUACUGUAUAUACACACACACAUAUACACAUACACAGACACUCAAACACACACACACACACAUACUCAAACACACACACACAGACACAUACUCAAACACACACACACACACACACACA
Molecule: long non-coding RNA, 1003 nt
Organism: Clupea harengus (Atlantic herring)
Lineage: Eukaryota; Metazoa; Chordata; Actinopteri; Clupeiformes; Clupeidae
Source: Ensembl